This 403-nucleotide ribosomal RNA is filed under the name uncultured Bacteroides sp. RNAcentral's name for it is "bacterial SSU rRNA". It matches the Rfam family "Bacterial small subunit ribosomal RNA", at positions 78 to 479 of the family's 1533-position model. Lineage: Bacteria; Pseudomonadati; Bacteroidota; Bacteroidia; Bacteroidales; Bacteroidaceae. The record is from RNAcentral.
UGCUGAUUUUGAUGGCGACCGGCGCACGGGUGAGUAACACGUAUCCAACCUGCCCAUUACUCAGGGAUAGGCUUCUGAAAGGGAGAUUAAUACUUGAUAUGUCAUAAUUUCGCAUGUCAUUAUGAUGAAAGAUUUAUCGGUGAUGGAUGGGGAUGCGUUCCAUUAGCUUGUUGGUGAGGUAACCGCUCACCAAGGCUUCGAUGGAUAGGGGUUCUGAGAGGAAGGUCCCCCACAUUGGAACUGAGACACGGUCCAAACUCCUACGGGAGGCAGCAGUGAGGAAUAUUGGUCAAUGGACGUAAGUCUGAACCAGCCAAGUAGCGUGAAGGAUGACUGCCCUAUGGGUUGUAAACUUCUUUUGUUCGGGAAUAAUAUGCCUUACGUGUAGGGUAUUGCAUGUACC